UAGGGAAUCUUCGGCAAUGGACGAAAGUCUGACCGAGCAACGCCGCGUGAGUGAAGAAGGUUUUCGGAUCGUAAAACUCUGAUGGUAGAGAAGAACGUUGGUGAGAGUGGAAAGCUCAUCAAGUGACGGUAACUACCCAGAAAGGGACGGCUAACUACGUGCCACCAG
This 168-nucleotide ribosomal RNA is filed under the name uncultured bacterium. Its description in RNAcentral is "partial 16S rRNA". It matches the Rfam family "Bacterial small subunit ribosomal RNA", at positions 355 to 514 of the family's 1533-position model. The record is from RNAcentral.